Long non-coding RNA from Zingiber officinale, 185 nucleotides. RefSeq lists it as uncharacterized. Lineage: Eukaryota; Viridiplantae; Streptophyta; Magnoliopsida; Zingiberales; Zingiberaceae. The transcript has 2 exons. The record is from RefSeq and is a predicted model, not a curated record.
CGACGUCCGAGAUAAGGAGAGAAAUACGACAGCAGAUCAAGAGGUCUAUAAGCUACAAAAAGGUUGAAGUUGUCAGGAGGUUCCAGUCACUAGUCUCCACACUGAGUCGCGACGGUUUUCUAUUUUUGGACUUUUGAUUUCCUUGUUAUGUUCCUACAUACUUGUGAUGUGUGGUUGUACUCGAU